Molecule: long non-coding RNA, 545 nt
Filed under: Populus trichocarpa (black cottonwood)
Lineage: Eukaryota; Viridiplantae; Streptophyta; Magnoliopsida; Malpighiales; Salicaceae
Description: long non-coding RNA (PTRI_LNC004238)
Source: RNAcentral
GGUGAUGCAAAUGAGGGGCACACAGUAAAUGAAUAACUUUCUAGGAAACUUGGCUUCUAGACUUCAUGAAACACAAGAUAUCAUGUUUCUUUAAUGGGAAUUAAAGAGUCAUCAUAAUUGGAUCCUAAUCUGCUUCUCGUUUGAAAAAAUCCAAAUCGAGGACAAUCCUAGUUCUAUAUUCUGACAUUAUCAUCCAAAGCAGUGUCAAUGUUUCACAAUAUGAUUCAGCAUAAGCUUCUUCAGGUAUGCAGGGACAGAAGAUGGACAUUUUCAUGAGCUAGCAUGCUCAUCAUGCAACCUUUUUCUCAGCUCCUUGUGAUCUCUAUCUGAUUCAAAUCAUGAAGAGAUAAUGGACAACUAUCAUAAUAAUGGAGGGGUUUUAUUUGGACAAGAUCAAUAGAGAAAGCUUGGAGAGGAGAAGGAGGAGAAGGGGAGAUUUUUGAAGGGUUACAACACCUGCAAAAACAAGCUUUUAUAAGGGUUUGGUACUCUCUAAUACUUUAAUUUGUUUAGGUAAAAGAUGAAUUGAUUUUCGAAUCAUCAAU